UCUUAACCAGGUGCGUUCGCGGCCCUCGAGGGUUCUCUCUCGGGUGGUAGGGGUAACACCCUCACGCGUCGCAUUUCUGAAUCCUUUUUUUACGAGCACCUUUCGUUCUCCUUCGGUGGGGCAACCUGCCGCUGGAACUUAACAAAACCUUUUUUUGCAUCUAGCAUUACCUGUUCUGAUACAAACAAUCGUUACAACUUUCAACAAUGGAUCUCUUGGCUCUGGCAUCGAUGAAGAACGCAGCGAAAUGCGAUAAGUAGUGUGAAUUGCAGAAUUCAGUGAAUCAUCGAAUCUUUGAACGCACAUUGCGCCCCUUGGUAUUCCAUGGGGCAUGCCUGUUCGAGCGUCAUCUACACCCUCAAGCUCUGCUUGGUGUUGGGCGUCUGUCCCGCCUCUGUGCGUGGACUCGCCCCAAAUGCAUUGGCAGCGGUCCUUGCCUCCUCUCGCGCAGCACAAUUGCGUUUCUUGAGGUGUGCGGCUCGCAUCCACAAAGCAACCAUCGUCUUUGACCUCGGAUCAGGUAGGGAUACCCGCUGAACUUAAGCAUAUCAAUAAGCGGAGGAAAAGAAACCAACAGGGAUUGCCCUAGUAACGGCGAGUGAAGCGGCAACAGCUCAAAUUUGAAAUCUGGCUCUCUUUGGGGGUCCGAGUUGUAAUUUGCAGAGGAUGCUUUGGUAUUGUCGGCGGUCUAAGUUCCUUGGAACAGGACAUCACAGAGGGUGAGAAUCCCGUACGUGGUCGCCUGCCUUUACCGUGUAAAGCUCCUUCGACGAGUCGAGUUGUUUGGGAAUGCAGCUCUAAAUGGGAGGUAAAUUUCUUCUAAAGCUAAAUACCGGCCAGAGACCGAUAGCGCACAAGUAGAGUGAUCGAAAGAUGAAAAGUACUUUGGAAAGAGAGUCAAAAAGCACGUGAAAUUGUUGAAAGGGAAGCGCUUGCAGCCAGACUUGCCCGCAGUUGCUCACCUAGGCUUUUGCCUGGGGCAUUCUUCUGCGGGCAGGCCAGCAUCAGUUUGGGCGGUUGGAUAAAGGCCUCUGUCACGUAUCUCCCUUCGGGGUGACCUUAUAGGGGAGGCGUAAUGCAACCAGCCCGGACUGAGGUCCGC
This 1102-nucleotide ribosomal RNA is filed under the name Dothideomycetes sp. B1a0903P30CC498. RNAcentral describes it as "eukaryotic LSU rRNA". The stretch from base 507 to 1102 matches the Rfam family "Eukaryotic large subunit ribosomal RNA", at positions 1 to 599 of the family's 3401-position model. The record is from RNAcentral. Lineage: Eukaryota; Fungi; Ascomycota; Dothideomycetes.